GUCCCAGUAGCGUAGUGAUAAGUGCACAGCCCCGGAUAGGUUGAGACGCGGGUUCGAAUCCCGCCUGAGAUG
RNAcentral lists this transfer RNA (72 nucleotides) under Nippostrongylus brasiliensis. It matches the Rfam family "tRNA". Rfam says of the family: Transfer RNA (tRNA) molecules are approximately 80 nucleotides in length. Their secondary structure includes four short double-helical elements and three loops (D, anti-codon, and T loops). Further hydrogen bonds mediate the characteristic L-shaped molecular structure. tRNAs have two regions of fundamental functional importance: the anti-codon, which is responsible for specific mRNA codon recognition, and the 3' end, to which the tRNAs corresponding amino acid is attached (by aminoacyl-tRNA synthetases). tRNAs cope with the degeneracy of the genetic code in two manners: having more than one tRNA (with a specific anti-codon) for a particular amino acid; and 'wobble' base-pairing, i.e. permitting non-standard base-pairing at the 3rd anti-codon position. The record is from Rfam by way of RNAcentral. Lineage: Eukaryota; Metazoa; Nematoda; Chromadorea; Rhabditida; Heligmosomidae.